UUUGCCUUUUUGAUUUGAAAACGUAAUAUUUUUCAUGGAUUUGAUUUGGUUCCACCAGGGAGCUGAGAUAAGCCGCUCAGUCUGAGCUGCUGAGCUGGCUCUAAUGGCCCUUGUCUGCUUCAUACCCAGUAUCCAGUGAGUUCUCAGGCUCCCUCUCCAGCUGGGAUGGGGGCAGAGGCCUCCUGUUCUGUAAGCACACCUGCACAGGAGGCUGGGACUACCCUGAGGGGCUCAAAGAAUCAGUCUUCCUCACUGAAUGACUAAGGUGGUCCUGGGUGGCAUACCUGGGAAUAUGCCAGCUCCUUCUGUGCAUUUCAACCCUCAUUCAGUCCCCGUGCCCCUCACAUGCCCGCUGAUUGGCUGCUGGAGUGGGAUCCCUAUCCAUCUGGCUUUUGGAAGGUAGGGAACUCAUUCCAUUCGUGUUUGCAUCCCUGGUGCAAGCUUAUCAUGAUAACAACCAUUUCUGACAAUGUUGAAGCCUUUGUCCAGGGUUGGUACACUGUUUAGCACUGUCAACAUCCCUGAUUAUACUUUAAUCCCCAUAACAGCCCUCUGCAGUUGAUACAAUUGUUAUCCCCAUUUAAUAGAAGGGGGGAAACUUGAGUUUUAAAAGAUUAAGGAAUAUAUCAAUGCCGACAUUCCCUUCUAGCAAGAGACCAGGCUGAGCCUGAACUCAAGCUGGCCUGAUCCCACACCUCCUGCCCCCAACACGGCCUUCCCCUGCCUGGCACAGCAUCUGGGGAGUCUCAGUGACAUGCGGGUGAAGAAGGUAUGGACGCAGGCUUUCCUUCCAUCCAGGGCCCCCUUGGCUGCUGGGUGAGGGGUACUGCGGACCAGCUGACUUCCCAGAAGCCACAGCUCCCUUCACGCCAUUUCUUCUAAACAGCCUGCCCACUGGAUUGGGCCCCAUGUUGCUUGGAUCUCUCUGAAAUGCCCUUGGUCUGCUAAUCCAGGUAGAUCCUGUACCUGGCCCUCCCGGCCCACCUGGCUGCAUCUAGAAACUGGCUUCUGCAGCCAGAGAGCGAUACCCAGUCUUUCAUCCUGUCUUUCUCCCUGCUCUCUGCCAGCUUUUCUUCCACUUUUCAGCUUAGUUAACAUCCGGGAUCUCCCUGGAUCCACUAUUUGAGAAGAAUGAUUCGGCACUCAGGACUCUCUGAAAGGAAAAGACUCCAAGGAAUUUCUAAUCAAUUCCCAAAUCAAU
RNAcentral lists this long non-coding RNA (1201 nucleotides) under Capra hircus (goat). RNAcentral describes it as "lncRNA (ENSCHIG00010024857.1)". The record is from RNAcentral. Lineage: Eukaryota; Metazoa; Chordata; Mammalia; Artiodactyla; Bovidae.